UACGUAGGGUGCAAGCGUUGUCCGGAAUUAUUGGGCGUAAAGAGCGUGUAGGCGGCCCGAUUAGUCCGCUGUGAAAGUCCAGGGCUCAACCCUGGAAUGCCGGUGGAUACUGUCGGGCUAGAGUCCGGAAGGGGCGAGUGGAAUUCCUGGUGUAGCGGUGAAAUGCGCAGAUAUCAGGAGGAACACCAAUGGCGAAAGCGACUUUCUGGGCCGUUCCUGACGCUGAGGUUCGAAAGCCAGGGGAGCAAACGGG
This 253-nucleotide ribosomal RNA is filed under the name uncultured bacterium. RNAcentral's name for it is "partial 16S ribosomal RNA". It matches the Rfam family "Bacterial small subunit ribosomal RNA", at positions 524 to 776 of the family's 1533-position model. The record is from RNAcentral.